GAUGAACGCUGGCGGCGUGCCUAAUACAUGCAAGUAGAACGCUGAAGGAAGGAGCUUGCUCUUUCCGGAUGAGUUGCGAACGGGUGAGUAGCGCGUAGGUAACCUGCCUGGUAGCGGGGGAUAACUAUUGGAAACGAUAGCUAAUACCGCAUAACAGUAGAUGUUGCAUGACAUUUACUUGAAAGGUGCAAUUGCAUCACUACCAGAUGGACCUGCGUUGUAUUAGCUAGUUGGUGAGGUAACGGCUCACCAAGGCGACGAUACAUAGCCGACCUGAGAGGGUGAUCGGCCACACUGGGACUGAGACACGGCCCAGACUCCUACGGGAGGCAGCAGUAGGGAAUCUUCGGCAAUGGACGGAAGUCUGACCGAGCAACGCCGCGUGAGUGAAGAAGGUUUUCGGAUCGUAAAGCUCUGUUGUAAGAGAAGAACGAGUGUGAGAGUGGAAAGUUCACACUGUGACGGUAUCUACCAGAAAGGAC
This 482-nucleotide ribosomal RNA is filed under the name Streptococcus australis. Its description in RNAcentral is "bacterial SSU rRNA". It matches the Rfam family "Bacterial small subunit ribosomal RNA", at positions 28 to 493 of the family's 1533-position model. The record is from RNAcentral. Lineage: Bacteria; Bacillati; Bacillota; Bacilli; Lactobacillales; Streptococcaceae.